UAUGGCCAUAUCAUGUUGAAACAUUGGUUCCUGUAUGAUCACCAAGUUAAACAACAUCAAGCCUGGCCAGUACCUUGAUGGGUGAUCGCUUGUGAAGACGAGGUGCUGUAAG
Acanthosepion pharaonis is the source of this 112-nucleotide non-coding RNA. Lineage: Eukaryota; Metazoa; Mollusca; Cephalopoda; Sepiida; Sepiidae. The record is from the annotation of a GenBank genome assembly.